GUAUAUAGAUGUAUAUGUGUGUGUAUAUAUAUGUAUAUGUGUGUAUAUAGAUGUUUGUGUAUAUAUCUGUAUGUUUAUGUAUGUAUACAUGUAUGUUGUUGUUGUUGUUGUUGUUGUUGUUUUUAGCUAAAUAAAAGGAAGACCAAACGUGCCUGCAGCAGCCUCCUCAAACCAGUCUCUUUUGUGGAGAGGGAUGAGUUUGGGCAUCUUGUGCCUAAACGGAGAAGGCCAAAAUGUACAAAGGCAAACAUUUCUGAUGGUACAGUGGUCAACAAUCCAGCAGCUACAUCGUCAUUAUCUUUGGAGUCUAGGCAAGGAGACAUUAAUCAUGAUGAAAUUCCAUCACUUUCUUUUCGCACUGUUUGUCCGGCAGUUGAAGACAUAGAAACUCUUCAUCAAGAGGUAGAGGAUCUGUUAGCUGAUACUGAAGACAUUCAGUGCUCAAAUCCGACUUCCUCAAACGCAUGGUCAGUUCGCAUGGCCCAGACUAAAAAGAAGUGGGCAGCUUUGAGGCCAGAGAUGGUGGAGUGUUUAUUAACAGCUGAGUAUACGGAGAUCAGGCAGUGCCAGCACUGCCGACUGAAGCAGUCUGUUAUCCGCUGUAAAGACUGCAUUCCUAAACAGCUGUACUGUGUAGAAUGUGAUAUUUUGGCCCAUGAAAGGAAACU
Cyprinus carpio carpio is the source of this 668-nucleotide long non-coding RNA. The record is from Ensembl. Lineage: Eukaryota; Metazoa; Chordata; Actinopteri; Cypriniformes; Cyprinidae.